RNAcentral lists this long non-coding RNA (193 nucleotides) under Chinchilla lanigera (long-tailed chinchilla). RNAcentral describes it as "lncRNA (ENSCLAG00000027231.1)". The record is from RNAcentral. Lineage: Eukaryota; Metazoa; Chordata; Mammalia; Rodentia; Chinchillidae.
AUGGCUCUACCCUACAAAAUCUGCAUUCCUGGUCAUGUGAUACAAAUCAGACCAAUCAGAGAUCUUCCAUGGCAUCUUCAAAUUGGAACAAAGGGGAGAACAUUUCUUUUUCCUGACCCUCUUGUGAAAUAAAGUUGGAGAAUAUAAACUUUGUACUUGCCAGACCACAUAGGUCCAGCUUCUCGUAAGAUGC